AUGGCAAACAUAGAUAUUGGUUCAGAUGAAGAUCUGCAUCAGACCAUGAUGAUGAAACCAAAGAGAAAGGGGCUUCAACUCACCAACCUGCCAAAGGACAUUCUCUGCAGCAUCCUGUCACGGUUGCCUAUAAAGGAAGCCGUGCGGACGAGCAUACUGUUGGAACACUGGAAACAUCUUUGGCGCUGCCACUCAAAUCUAGAAUUCAGUCUUAGAUCAAUGUUUCCAGGUCCUCGUACCAAUGGACCCAACGAUGUUAGGCCAUGGAAAGACGUGUUUAUUGAGAGAGUUGAUGCGGUCCUGCAGCAACACUCUGGUGCAGGGGUUGACAACAUUCAGUUCCAGGCUCCAUGUGACGAUGAGCAUGGGGAUCGGAUAGAGGGAUGGGUCAGAUUUGCUACUGCUUCCAAGACGAAGCAACUUAUUCUCGAUUUCUCAGCUACACACCAUAUAGAGCAACAUCCAUAUAAAAUCGAUUUGCGGCUUCUCGAUGACAGUAAAAGCUCACACCUGCAAUCCAUAAAACUCUGUUCCGUUUCUCUAAAGGUGCCUGCGGAUUUCAAGGGUUUUCGGAACCUUAAAUGGAUUUUCCUAGCGGACACGAAUAUUACCGACGGCGACCUUCACCAUUUGGUGUCCAACUGCAGUGGUAUUUUGGAGUUCCUUGGAAUCGCUGGUUGUGGGAUGCUCAGAAGGUUACAUAUAUCUCAUCUUUCAAACAAGCUUAAGCAUUUGCAAGUAUAUGACUGCCGCUUGCUUCAAGCGAUGGAGUUAAACUUUGGUCUGGUAAAGCUCGAGUACAGAGGCCCGUCUGUAUUGUUAUCGCCUCCUGGAAGUUUACUUCUAGCAGAUAUAUGCAUCAAGCUGGAGGGUAUCUGUACUAAUUCUCUAGAGUACAUGUUCACCAAACUUGGUCAUAAUGUGCCUCGUCUCGAGAUUCUGACUCUAAGAUGCCGUGAGGGGAAGAUGGCUACACUGCGAGGAAAACUGCAUGAGUUUGUUCAUUUGAAGCACCUGAGACUGGACUUGACUUUUGGGUGUGCGACAAGGACAACUGAUAUUCUUGAAUUUGCCUGCCUUCUGGUUGCUGCUCCUUUCUUGGAAAAGCUGGAAUUUCACAUGUGGCUGCGCUGCCAGCAUGAACGAUACAGUGUGGGUAAAGGGCAUCUCCGGAGCCUUCCCUCCCAACCACACUCCCAGCUCAGGUCGGUCGACAUCACGGGGUUCUACGGCGAGAAGGACCAACUGGAGCUGGCGCUCCACAUCCUCAGAGACUCCGUCGUGCUGGAAUCGAUGAAGAUAGACCCAGGACCCGCGGCCGCCCCCGCUGGUCUUACCCGACUGGCGCGCACGGAGGCUCCUCAUUUUGUGGACGGCUACGAAGUCGCCCGGGAGUUCCUCCUCAGCAGAGACCGCCGCGAUGUUGUCCAUGUCGCAGAGCCUCUGGCCUGUCGUCUGAGGCCGCUCAUGCUUGGCGCCCGGUGGCGUAUCGAUGCAGCCCAACGUGCGUCUUUCUUUGCAGCUCUGCGCAGAAGAAACGCGGAGAAUGCAGGGUAA
Molecule: ribosomal RNA, 1557 nt
Filed under: Triticum aestivum (bread wheat)
Lineage: Eukaryota; Viridiplantae; Streptophyta; Magnoliopsida; Poales; Poaceae
Description: partial small subunit ribosomal RNA
Source: RNAcentral